AGGAAAUCGCUAAGCGAAUCCCCCGUCCAUCAUUAUCAUGAUUGCUGAACCUUGUAAUGGAAUCAACUAAUAUGGCUUCUAUAAUGUUAUGGAAACCUACUUGCCUGUAUCAAAGUUGUUUAUAUGGUGAUGUCUGUAAUCUUUGCCCUAUUUUGUGAUUUGGAUCUGAAGUUCUUGUUCCAACAAUGAGAUUAUAAAUCACAUUUGAGCAGUUGACAUAUAAGAUUAAUGAAGACAAACUAUCUGAAGGGAUUCCAUUACAAG
Molecule: unclassified non-coding RNA, 264 nt
Filed under: Hevea brasiliensis (rubber tree)
Lineage: Eukaryota; Viridiplantae; Streptophyta; Magnoliopsida; Malpighiales; Euphorbiaceae
Source: RNAcentral